Long non-coding RNA from Solanum pennellii, 807 nucleotides. RefSeq lists it as uncharacterized. The record is from RefSeq and is a predicted model, not a curated record. The transcript is spliced from 3 exons. NCBI's taxonomy places the organism in Eukaryota, Viridiplantae, Streptophyta, Magnoliopsida, Solanales, Solanaceae.
CAACAAAUUAAAGUUAACCAAAAAAUAAUAAUCAUGACAAUGUAUUUCUCAUCACAUCAUCACUUUCUCCUUUGCCUCUUCCUAUUUAGUUUUUUAUGUGUUAAUUCACAAAGCUCUUAUGUUGUGGUCUUAAUAAAUGAAAGUCAAAAUAAUGUGGCUACAGAACAAUGUUAUGUAAAUUAUGAAAUACAUCCUGGAGAGGAGAUCUUAUUAAAACCAGGAAUGUCUGAUCACAUAACCACAACCUUUCAUCCUGGAAAAAGUAACACACUUUCUUGUAACUUACAAUUAGGGGAAAAAUAUGUGGAUUUUUUCACGUUGUUUGAUUCGGACGACGCAAGUAUUUGCCACAAUCCUAGUGAAGAAUGUCUAUGGAAAAUACAUGAAGUUGGACUAUGCAUGUUCUCCCAAGAGGCACUUUGGAAGAAAAUGAUGUUACAUUAUCCUUUCACUUAACAUGAUUGUGGAUGCAUCAUUAUCAAAAGGGGUAGAAUGUGCAAACAAAGGUGAUCUCGUACAAGGGGAAUUCAAACCUAAAACAAUAUUUUAUUAGGAAUGAAAAAAUAUUUAUCACUCCAUCAUAAUUAUUUAAGUCAGCUCAUACAAUCAAGUGCAUUAAAUUGAUACCCUCAUUCAUGAGAUUUUUAUUUUGUAUAAGAGACCUUGACCGGUGGAGAAAGAGACAUUUAGUGGCAAUAAAUUUUUAUGUAGAUAUAUUUAGCGAUAAUUGGGUUAAUAUUGUUGUAUUUAGAAUUGUUAAUAUUUUAGUUGCAUUUUAUGGAACAUUGAUUAUAAAUAUUCAUAUUA